Long non-coding RNA from Ficedula albicollis (Collared flycatcher), 3410 nucleotides. The record is from Ensembl. NCBI's taxonomy places the organism in Eukaryota, Metazoa, Chordata, Aves, Passeriformes, Muscicapidae.
UAACCUGGACUAGUGGAAAGUGUCCCUGACCAUGGCAGGGGGUGAGAACAAGCUGCCUCCCUCCUGCUUCCCUGGGAAUCCAAAACUCUUCCUUUGGUGGUCGCUGUGCCCAGGACAGUUCCCCCAUCACAACACUUCUCUUUUCUGGUUUGUAUUUUGUCCUCCAAUUUUUUUCUAACUUGUUUCCAUUUCCUUUGGUGGUCGCUGUGCCCACGACAGUUCCCCCAUCACAACACUUCUCUUUUCUGGUUUGUAUUUUGUCCUCCAAUUUUUUUCUAACUUGUUUCCAUUAUCUCAGAAGUUUCUUUCUCACAGUCCUGCACCCGAGGCAGGGAGGGCUCUCCCCUGGGCUCCUGGCUGUCACAAAGGGAUUUCUGACUGUCCCACACUGUCACAAAGAGGGGUCUGGCUGCCCCAUGAUGUCACACAGGGGACUCUGCCAGGCUAUAAAAGGGGCCCCACAGGAGCAGAUAGUGCUGGGCACAACAGUCUGGCAGUGUCUUGGCAGACAACAGCCUCGGCCUCUGCCAUCCCACCAGGGUUGGAUUCCCCUUACUGGAACCCUGCAGGUCUCUGGGGAACCUCUCCACCGGCCUGUACUGGUAACCUGGAGCUCCAGGGAUGGUACCAUGGGGUGCCCCAAGACCUUCGCCCAAGGCUCACCCCAACCUCCCAGGUGCUCUUGGAGGAGCAGUGCAAGGAGCUGCAGGCACAGCUGCCCCGGUGGAUGCAGAAGGGCUGCAGGGCAGCCCAGCCUGAGGCGCCCGUGGGGCUGCUGGGGGGCAAGGAGGGGCCGCAGGGCCGCGGCCAGCAGCGGCCGAAGGCGGGCAGGAAGGACAAAGCCAAGGCCAAGAGACUGGGCCCCAAGCCCCACGGCAAGGCAGGGACUGCAGGCAGCAGCAUCUUCCUGGAGCUGGAGCACGGCAGCAGCUGCAGGGCCAUGGCCUGGUUCCUGCCCCCCGGAGAAGUGCAGGGCUUCGGCCCCACGGCCCCCAGGGGCAGCAUCAGCUCUCUGGGGCUGGGCAGGAGCGUGGCCGCUGCUCGGGGCCGGGGCUCCCUGUCCCUGCCCAGGCCCCCGCAGCAGCUGCCCGAGGCCAGGGAGCCCGAGGCCAGCAGGACGGGCUGUGGGCUCCUGGAGCUCUGCUCCUCGCUGAGGGAGCUGCUGGUGGGCUGCUGGACACGGCUCGUCCAGCGGCGCCGCAGCCGCCACGUGCGCUUCGCCAGCCCGCUGGUGACAGUGAGGUACAUCGACUAGGGGCUGCUCCCCGAGCCUGGAGCUCAUUUCUAGCUAAUACAUUACCGAAACCCAACCGUUCUGUGCUGGUAUCCUUCAGUUCUGACCCUCCCCAGAGCCCUGGAGCUCAUUUCUAGCUAAUACAUUACCAAAACCCAACCGUUCCAUGCCUGUAUCCCUUCAGUUCUGACCCUCCCCAGAGCCCUGGAGCUCAUCUCUAUUUAAUACAUUACCAAAACCCAACCAUCCCAUGCCUGUAUCCCUUCAGUUCUGCCCCUGCUCGCCAUCCCUACAGGGAUGUGGGAAAGUGUUCCCAACCCCGGCAGGGGGAUUGCAACAAGGUGAAUUUUAAGGUCCCUCCCAACCCCAAGCACUCUGUGUUACACCCUGUGUCAUGACUUGCCUCUUGGAUGGGAGUUGGCCACAUCUGGCACUGCCCAGGGAGCUGUGCCUCAAUUUAUGGCCGCAGCCCUUGGUGUGCAGAGUCCUGUGAGAGAGCUGCACUAAAACCUGCAGCUGCUUUCCUGCAUGGCACCGUCCCGGACCUCAGGGCUGGGUCAGACACCAGCCCUGGCUCUCUGCUGACCGUGGCACUCUGGAUGUCACUGCAGCUGGGCAGGGACAGAUUCCCAACAAACCCAGCUCUCCCCACCUCCCACUGAAUGCAAGAGCUGAAAGGUGGUGAAGAAAACCAGAGUGAUAAUGUUCUGUGCUGUGCCAGGAGGACAACAUGGGGUUCUGUGCAUGCCAGGCCAGCAGGGCAGUUCCUCAGAGUUCUUUGAGCAAGAAACUCUCACCUGCCCGCUGGAGCUGCUGAUCUCCUGGGAAGGAGAGGGACUGGGGUCAGACUGGUCACAGAAUCACAGAACUGUUUGACUGGGAAAGGAGUUUUAAAGUCAUUCCAUCCCACCCCUGCCACAGCAGGGACACCUCCCACUGCCCCAGGCUGCUCCAGCCCCAGUGUCCAGCCUGGCCUUGGGCACUGCCAGGGAUCCAGGGGCAGCCACAGCUGCUCUGGGCACCCUGUGCCAGCCCUGCCCACCCUGCCAGGGAACAAUUCCUGCCCCACAUCCCACCCAGCCCUGCCCUCUGGCAGUGGGAGCCAUUCCCUUUUGUCCCAUCUCUCCAUCCCUUAUCCAAAAUCUCCAUCCCUCUUGCAGGCCCCUUCCAGAUGCCACCUGCCCGUGGCAGGUCUGUGGAGCUGAGCCAGUGCAGUUGAGGCUGAGUUUCCCAUCCCAUCAACUUUUCCUGUUUAUUCCUUUCUAACACACCGAGCACCCCUCAGGCAGCCCCUGAGGCAAGCCUACAGCAAUAAAUACAGCUGACAACAGCCAGAGCCCCUGAUCAACAGCCGGGCUGACUCCUGGGGAAGCUGACUGCCUGCUCAUGCUGUCCAUCCAAAGGUCCUGGCAGGGCAGGAGCAGCUCGGGCGCUGCAGGUGCAUCUCUGUGUCCCCUCGGGUGGCAGAGUGACCCUGUGUCACCUGUGCAGGGGAAGGACAAAGGACAAGGAGCUGCCACACGUCCCCCACAGCUGGGGCUGGUGCGGGUGCCUCAGGGCUCGGACACACACCCCGGGCUCUGAAAGCCAGAGAAACGGAAAAUGCUGCGGCCACGGCGAGGAUCUGUGGGGAACAGCAAGGAACUGGCACCAGCCGAGGUUCCCAGCGCUGCGCGAGGGAUUUGUCCUGGAUCUGAACGAAACAGAUGCGAGAGCAGAGCCGGGGCUGGGGGAGCGGCCCCAAGCUGAGCUUUGCCAAAACCUCCCUCCCGCAGCCCCCGGUACCGGGGACAGCAGAGACCGACACCCGAACGUCCCCGUGCCCGGUCACCGGCCCGGGGGGACACGGGAACCCCGGUCCCGCUUCUGUCCCCACACGGGAACCCCGGUCCCGCUUCUGUCCUCGGUCCCGGUUCUGUUCCCACUCUCAAACCCCGGUCCCGGUUCUGUCCCAGCUCUCGGUCCCGGUUCUGUCCCCGAUCUCGGUCUCGGUCCUGGUUCUGUCCCCGCUCUCAGUCCCGCUUCUGUCCCCGCUCUCGGUCCCGGUUCUGUCCCCGCUCUCGGUCCCGGUCCCGGUUCUGUCCCUGCAGUUCCCCGCGGUGCCGCCGGGGGGCGCUGGUGCCGCGGCCGCAGCGGGGCCGGGAGCGCCCCGGGGGGGGGGGGGGGGGGGGGGGGG